CUUGAAACCAGACGUCCUCCCAACUAGCAGCCAGGCUGCCAGCUGAAACAAGUGUGACCAGGUUGGAGAAACAGGGAGAGACAGUCUUAGCCAACCUGAUUUCUUUCUCAGAAAAAAAUCACAGGAUACACCUACAGAGGCUUUGUGAUUUCAUCCAGUUCCCAUGUCACCUCCGAGAGCUGUUCUCAGAUGAUCAACAACCCACAGCUAAUAUUUACUAAGUGCUUGCUCUUGAUGUCGAGUGACUGGUGCUCAGUAGACACUGGUUUCCUCCCUUCCUUCCUGGCUGCUUUGAAGAGAAUAACAGAGGAGAUCACCAAAGCUUCCCAGACCGGAGUGAUUUUUUUAAAUACCAAAGAAGAG
Molecule: long non-coding RNA, 363 nt
Filed under: Canis lupus familiaris (dog)
Lineage: Eukaryota; Metazoa; Chordata; Mammalia; Carnivora; Canidae
Description: lncRNA (ENSCAFG00000059394.1, ENSCAFG00845020131.1)
Source: RNAcentral